Molecule: long non-coding RNA, 4483 nt
Organism: Cygnus olor (mute swan)
Lineage: Eukaryota; Metazoa; Chordata; Aves; Anseriformes; Anatidae
Exons: 9
Source: RefSeq, a predicted model, not a curated record
AAAAGUAGAGUAAGUUAUUUCAACUACUGUGCCAUGCAAGUUGAAUCAAGGAACAAAACUGCAACUCUCCCAAAUACACGUGGAUAAAAUUUGAAAACCUGACUCCAGUUAUAGAAGAGCAUAAUAAACAGCUAUUUUGUAAGAAUUAUUAAACACUGAUUACAAAGGCAAAAUUUAAUGAUGGUAGAGACUACAGAAAUAUCACCAGCUUACAUUUCCGCAUGUUUCUGUAGUGGUAUCUUGGUUUUGACGAUUUUACACAGCAGGAAAAGCCUGCAUCAUAGAACCACAAAAAGGAAACCCCAUCACUGGAGGUUUUCAAGCUGCAAUUGCAGAGGAUACUAGAUAAUCUCAUUUGGGCUCCCUUUUCCCAUGAAAUGUUGGGCCUGAUGAUCUUUUGAGAUCCCUUCCAACCCGGGCUGUUCCAUGAAAUGUAAGGAUUCUUGCAUAACUAUUUCCAAAAGCACAUCAACUUUUCCUGACAUAGCAACCACAAAAUUAAUGCCAAUGAGAAAAGUCUUGUUCCCUGGUGUAUGUAGGGGAUGGAGGUAAGGCCUUCUCCAUGCAGUACCUCAACAGCAUCCUCUUUGCCUAUCAUGUGGCAAACUUGGAUGUUCCCCAUGUUCAUCAAAAACAGCUAUACCACCUUAUUCCAUUACUAUGUUUGUUUAGUACAUGACUUCGAGUACUAAAAUGGGAGGUGAAAGACAGAUCCCUGAGCACCCCACACCUGCACUACAGCCCAGGCUCCCACUCCUCUCAGCACCACCAUGGCCAAACCACCCCACGCUACCCCAUGCCACACACAGACCCCAAAGCACGCUCACAAGAAAUACAAAACAAACGUGUUUUUAUUUUCCACACAGCCGGUUUGCAGCACUCCGAGGCCAGUGGCGCCCACCCGCGCCUCGCCUCAGCGGGAAAUGGCCGCAGUCUUGAGGCUCCCCGGGCCCCCUCACACGAUGGGGGAAGGAGCACAAGCCCCCUCAGCUCCCCUCACGGGCAGCCCCACCUCACGGCCCCGCCCUUCGCCGCGGUGCGACGCCAGCGCGGGAGCGCGCAGCCCCCAGGCGUCUCCUCACGGCCGAAGGGAAAGAAAGGGGAAAGCAGCCGCUGUCCUCCCACCCGCUUCUCAGGGAGUGGUCGGCGGCCCAUGGAGCGCCCGCCCCUCACGGGGAAGCGGCGACAGGGAGGCUCCGCCGCUGGAGCCCGCCCGCCUCUCACGGGGGGCCGCCGGCCCCCGGCCCGCCCGCCCCUCAGAGGGGUUGCGGCCAGCCGGGCCCGCCGAGGCGCGAGGAAGCGGCCGCCCCCCGUGAGAGCGGCGGCCCCGCCGCGCGCCCCGGAGUUCUUUUGUGCAGUGUUGGCUGUUCAAAUCCAUCAAAUCCAUUUGUAUCACAGGGAAUCAUCAAUGCAAGAAAACAAGAUGGAAAAUUGUGCACAGAGCUCCUGCUGUUAGAGUCAGCCAGGAGUAACAGUCAUCAAGGUCACGACUCCACAAGACCCUGCGAGGCAAUCCAUCUUUGCAUGCCAUAGGCAUACUCAUGAGCAGGAAGCAGAUCAAAGGCUUUUUGAAAGAAGGGGAAUAUUUCCUGAAUGGUUCAAGUGCAUAGCAACAUGAUGUAAUUCAUAACAUAAAUGCAAUUUCUGAAUGUUCCUCUUAUCCUGGAGCUUGGCAGGAACUGUAUUUCACUGGCAAUUGAUUUAAGCGAAGAAGAAUAUAAUAGAGGAAGAAGCAGAAGAUGAAAUUUGGUUUGGGAGAGUACCAAGGAAGGAGGAAAAGAAGCUACAACUAACAUCUCCUAAACAGGUCACAUGAAACUGGAGACGCCCUUCACUGAAAUGCAACCAGGAGACUCCAGCUGCAGGGCCAAGGCACUGCCUGCUGCACAAGUUUACCUGAAAAUAAAUAAGAUAGUGUAAGACCUGCAGAUUGUUAAAUGAAGUUAAUAACAAGUUCAAAAGAAGGGGAGGCACUUCUUCCAUGUAACACACAGCUAAGGUCUGAUGGUACAAUAGUUUUGAUGCAGUCUGGGCAAUGUGUUAACUGCGGGGCUGCUGAACCUAACUGUCAGACUUCCCUCAGGAACCUCUUUGGAAGGGAGGGCUUUCUCCAAGGACUUAACUCCUUCCCUGCAAGAUGAUGGAUGAGACUUUACAACCACCUGUCUUUGAUGCCAGAAAAUACGCUAUGCCCAUUCACCUGGAGAAGAGGAGAUUCAGGAGAGAUUUCAUAAUUGCAUAUAAUGGGAUGAUGGGCAGCGAUAAAGAGGACGCUGCUCACAGCAGCAGUCAGGGGAUUCAGUCUCCAGAGGCCCCUUUCCACCUCAGCUGAUCGGUCAUUCUGCAUCCCUGUCACAGGGCAGGUAGAUACACACUGCAGUGUGACUGUGAGUGAACCUCUGAACUGUUCUCUUCUGUAUAUCUCAGCCUCUUUCUUCAUGUGGGUAUACGUGCGAAGAAACCUUAAGUCCCAAGGACUAAAAUUGUGAUGGUGGAUGAGUGGUCAGCCUGAAGCAGAAGCAUUUGACUUCCUAUGGGGAACUCCGUACAACGUGGGAGAAGUAGGAAGAAAUGGCUCCUUUGUAAGUCAUUUUGGCAUGCAACGACCAUUUAAAAAGGCUUCAUGUCAUUUACAGCAAUCUUAAUUCUUCCUUGAAGUCACACUUUUUAAUUUCACAUCUCCCCACUACCUUUUUAUUUUUGCUUAUAGUCAGUUUGGCCUGAUUCAGGGAUACAAGUGACAGUGCAUCACCUCCUGCUGCACAAACAUGUAUUACUACAUUUAAUUCUCUCCUUUAGCACAAAGGAAUUAUUACUACAUUUGAUUUUAAUCAGCUUCUGGGAAUAUACUCAGCCAUUCCCCUGUGCAAGUUGUGCUUUGUACGAGAAUUCUGUUUUAAACAUCUCACAUGAGAUGGAUCAAGGACUAGCAGUGAGUAUUUCUGACCACUCGUCAUCACAGUUAACAUCCUUUGGGCUUUUUCUGCUAUACCAAGGAAGAAAAUCCUUCCUGGGGUGGUAAAGCCUGAAAGAGAAUCAAAUGAUUAGGUGGCCAAGCAAUACCACAACCUCCCAUGAAUAGGCUCAUGAUUUGCAGGCAGUUAAACUCCUGCCAGAAUAGGGCAGGGGGAGGAUCUACUAGAAAUCCUUUUGAAAGAUCCUUAAAGCUGUCGAUUUUGGCAGAUGCAAUGCCCUAUUUCUACAGCCUCACAAUCAACUCUGAAAAAAAAACAACCCUUCCUUUUCUGUGCCCCAGGCCUGUGUGGACUGCUCCCCCAUUAAGGCUUAUCUACCUUUCACAUAAUGAAGCCUGCAGCUUAAUCAAGUGAGGCAGCAACAGGCCUGGAUUUCCAAGACUGAGCUUCUGUCUCCUUGCACUUGCACAGCUGCAGUUUCUACAAGUUUGUUCCACCCAGUCCCCAGUUCACCACAGCCAAAAAAAAAGAAGGGGGGGGGGGACCCUUCAAGCAUGCAGAAGCUCUGUACCUUUGUGAUUCUCGUGACAUUGAAGCAAGCACUUCAGCCACUCACCAUUUGCUGCUACAAUAUGGAGAAAGACUAUCCUAAUUUUACCAUAGUGCCUUGAACAAGGUACAUAACAAGUCAUUAGCUGAAGCAGGAAUUCAACCCAAAGAUCCAAAGCUAUCUUUUACCCAUUCAGCACUGAUAUCCUAUCCGCCUCAGUUGAAGAAACGAUGCAAUAGCUGAAUUACUGAGGGUCAUAGCUCCAGGGUACGUUCCUGACCAAAACAUAAUUACCUGGCAACUUCAUCCUGGCAGCUGCAAAAUCAACCACGGAAAAGAAAGGUAAAUGAAGAUAUUAAUGGUGCUACAGCGAUCACCCUCUCCAUAGUGACGCAAGGCAGGAGCCACCUGACUGCUUAAUGUUGACAAUAUAGGUCUGUGAGAGAAAGAGCCAAGCCUGCAAGCAAUGACUUUUAGCUCGUGCUCAGCAGAAGCUGAUCUUGUUAUCCUCAAAGCAUGGAAAACUGCUAAUGCCUGCUUUGGGAAUACAAAUUCUCCCCCCCACUUCCUAGGAGAAUGGCUGUUUCCUAAACAAACCUUUCUCUCCCUCCCCAAACACAGGGCACAUUAAACCUUCCUUUCUGUAAAUGAGUGCUGUUUAAACGGUCUAUUUAACUAAUGUAAUACCUAGGAGCUGUGAGAGUUCAGCACCUACUGUGUGCACAUGCCACCUAUGUGCUUGGGGACCAGAGGGAGUGAAAAACAACCCUCCCACCCCCUCAAAGCCAUAUACCAAACAGCUUGGACUUGAUAACUGCUUGAUGCUUUAUCCUAAAGGCAAACUAGCUCUUCUCUCCCCUCCUCCACCUUCACAGGCAGAAGAUCUGCUCUACAGCCACCUUUGAAUAUAGCACCAAAUGCCUUACAGAGCUUAAAGUGUUAAGUAAAAUAAGUUACAACAGCAUGAGAGCAAUACCAAACAACGUAGUGCUUUGAAGUACUCUUUAACAAAAAGAAC